Molecule: ribosomal RNA, 273 nt
Filed under: uncultured bacterium
Lineage: Bacteria
Description: partial 16S ribosomal RNA
Rfam family: Bacterial small subunit ribosomal RNA
Source: RNAcentral
UACGGAGGGUGCGAGCGUUGUUCGGAAUCACUGGGCGUAAAGGGCGUGUAGGCGGUCCGCUAAGUCUGAUGUGAAAGCCCGGGGCUCACCCCCGGAAGUGCAUUGGAAACUGACGGACUCGAGUCCCGGAGAGGAGGGUGGAAUUCCUGGUGUAGCGGUGAAAUGCGUAGAUAUCAGGAGGAACACCGGUGGCGAAGGCGGCCCUCUGGACGGUGACUGACGCUGAGACGCGAAAGCGUGGGGAGCAAACAGGAUUAGAAACCCUAGUAGUCC